Molecule: ribosomal RNA, 541 nt
Filed under: Nosema sp. TBR101
Lineage: Eukaryota; Fungi; Microsporidia; Nosematidae
Description: SSU rRNA
Rfam family: Microsporidia small subunit ribosomal RNA
Source: RNAcentral
UCACCAGGUUGAUUCUGCCUGACGUAGACGCUAUUCCCUAAGAUUAACCCAUGCAUGUUUUUGACAUUUGAAAAAUGGACUGCUCAGUAAUACUCACUUUAUUUUAUGUACAUGUGAAAGUAACUACGUUAAAGUGUAGAUAAGAUGUGUACAGUAAGAGUGAGACCUAUCAGCUAGUUGUUAAGGUAAUGGCUUAACAAGGCAGUGACGGGUAACGGUAUUACUUUGUAAUAUUCCGGAGAAGGAGCCUGAGAGACGGCUACUAAGUCUAAGGAUUGCAGCAGGGGCGAAACUUGACCUAUGGAUUUAUUCUGAGGCAGUUAUGGGAAGUAAUAUUAUAUUGUUUCAUAUUUUAAAAGUAUAUGAGGUGAUUAAUUGGAGGGCAAAUCAAGUGCCAGCAGCCGCGGUAAUACUUGUUCCAAGAGUGUGUAUGAUGAUUGAUGCAGUUAAAAAGUCCGUAGUUUAUGGUUAAGAAGCAAUAUGAGGUGUACUGUAUAGUUGGGAGAAAGAUGAAAUGUGACGACCCUGACUGGACGAACAA